AUACGGAGGAUGCGAGCGUUAUCCGGAUUUAUUGGGUUUAAAGGGUGCGUAGGCUGUGCGUUAAGUCAGGGGUGAAAUGCCGUCGCUCAACGACGGAGCUGCCCUUGAUACUGGCGUGCUGGAGUACGGAUGCCGUUGGAGGAAUGAGUGGUGUAGCGGUGAAAUGCUUAGAUAUCACUCAGAACACCGAUUGCGAAGGCAUCUGACGAAUCCGUCACUGACGCUGAGGCCCGAAAGCGUGGGGAUAGAACAGGAUUAGAUACCCUGGUAUUCCACGCCGUAAACGAUGAUGACUAACCGUCGGCGAUAGACAGCCGGUGGCCAAGCGAAAGCGAUAAGUCAUCCACCUGGGGAGUACGUCGGCAACGAUGAAACUCAAAGGAAUUGACGGGG
RNAcentral lists this ribosomal RNA (393 nucleotides) under uncultured bacterium. RNAcentral describes it as "partial 16S ribosomal RNA". It matches the Rfam family "Bacterial small subunit ribosomal RNA", at positions 523 to 918 of the family's 1533-position model. The record is from RNAcentral.